AGCAGCCGCGGUAAUUCCAGCUCCAAUAGCGUAUAUUAAAGUUGUUGCAGUUAAAAAGCUCGUAGUUGAAUUUCGGGAUCAAAUUGUCGGUCGUGCCUCGGUACGUACUGGUAUUAUUGGUUCCUCCCUUCUGACGAACCACGAUGUCAUUAAUUUGGUGUCAUGGGAAAUCAGGACUGUUACUUUGAAAAAAAUUAGAGUGUUUAAAGCAGGCUCGCGCUUGAAUACAUUAGCAUGGAAUAAUGAAAUAGGACGUUUGAUUCUAUUUUGUUGGUUUCUAGGAUCGACGUAAUGAUUAAUAGGGAUAGUUGGGGGCAUUAGUAUUCAAUUGUCAGAGGUGAAAUUCUUGGAUUUAUUGAAGACUAACUACUGCGAAAGCAUUUGCCAAGGAUGUUUUCAUUAAUCAAGAACGAAAGUUAGGGAUCGAAGACGAUCAGAUACCGUCGUAGUCUUAACCAUAAACUAUGCCGACUAGGGAUCGGAUGAUGUUAAUUUUUAAUGUACUCAUUCGGCGCCUUAC
This 520-nucleotide ribosomal RNA is filed under the name uncultured Glomus. RNAcentral describes it as "SSU rRNA". It matches the Rfam family "Eukaryotic small subunit ribosomal RNA", at positions 569 to 1091 of the family's 1831-position model. Lineage: Eukaryota; Fungi; Glomeromycota; Glomeromycetes; Glomerales; Glomeraceae. The record is from RNAcentral.